Molecule: ribosomal RNA, 288 nt
Filed under: uncultured Streptococcus sp.
Lineage: Bacteria; Bacillati; Bacillota; Bacilli; Lactobacillales; Streptococcaceae
Description: partial 16S ribosomal RNA
Source: RNAcentral
CUACCGGGGUAUCUAAUCCUGUUUGCUCCCCACGCUUUCGAGCCUCAGCGUCAGUUACAAGCCAGAGAGCCGCUUUCGCCACCGGUGUUCCUCCAUAUAUCUACGCAUUUCACCGCUACACAUGGAAUUCCACUCUCCCCUCUUGCACUCAAGUUAAACAGUUUCCAAAGCGUACUAUGGUUAAGCCACAGCCUUUAACUUCAGACUUAUCUAACCGCCUGCGCUCGCUUUACGCCCAAUAAAUCCGGACAACGCUCGGGACCUACGUAUUACCGCGGCUGCUGGCAC